Molecule: long non-coding RNA, 1150 nt
Filed under: Anser cygnoides (Swan goose)
Lineage: Eukaryota; Metazoa; Chordata; Aves; Anseriformes; Anatidae
Description: lncRNA (ENSACDG00005019126.1)
Source: RNAcentral
GCAAAUGGACAUGAGACAGCAAACACAACUUGCAACAGGGGAAAUUAUGACCAGAUAUUAGGAAAGAAAUAUUCACGGUGGGGGCAGUCCAGCACUGUAACAGGGCACAAGAAAGUUGUGGGCUCUCCAUCUUUGGAGAUAGUCACAACUCAGCUGGACAAGAUCCUGAGCAACCAUCAGGAAUAGAUGGUUGGUUUAAUGGAUGAUUAAAUGGAACUACUUUAGAGAGGAGGUCAGAAAAGGCAACUUACAUAGAUCCCUUCCAACCUCAACUAUUCUGUGGCUCUAUGAAAUACAAGCUCGCAUUAGUCAGGCCUCCACCCAACUCUGAGAAAGGAAUGUAGCACAAUCUGCAAUGUUAAUGCUGAUCUGCUAAUAUUUCCCGGGCUGAAGGGAAGAGAAACCAUACCAUAUCAUUUCACAAAAUGUGGUCAGGUCAAAUCCAGAAUGAAUAAGUAAAAGUCAGGGCUAUUCCUUGUAUUAUCACAAUAAUGGUUUGUCCAGUUUGGUAAUUAGUCUACUUCCACCAAAUAGUCACUUCUGGUAUCACAGAAAUAGAGGAUUUAUUUGACAUUAAAUAAUUGCAACAAAUCCAAAUACAGUGAGAGGCGUAUAUUACAAGAGAAGUUAAGAGCUUUACAAGAAACAUGAAGCAUGCCCAUUAUGAAGAGCUUUCUGUAUAGGAUUUGUAAUGGUAUAUUCAUGUUAAAACGAGUUCAGUAUGUUUUUAGUGGAAAAAAUAGUUCAUGUUACAGACAAAAAUAAAUCAACUGGGAAUUUCCUUUGUUGAAAUUAAAGUAUCUCACAAAAUUAUUAAUUGCUGUGUGUCUUCAUGGUGCUAGUGAAUUUUGCUAUGGAGAUGUAAUGUGUUAGAGGGUUUGGUAUUUCUUCUUCAGCAUUCUGACAACAGAACAGUGGCUUCUUUGCUAUUUAUCUUUUUAGAAAGAAAAAGUAAUGCUCAUCCAUUUAACCUCAGAGAUGUCUGAUGGCACUUUCUGCAAUCAGCACUGACAGUUCAAGGAUGAAAGUUUUAGGGGAUAAGAGACCUGCACUGUGCUAUAAAUCUAUUUUUUCAGUCUCAAGUGCUAUUGGACUCAGCUGGACUCAUGGGCGACUUAAAGCAAACAAAAGCCUUCAAUUUGAUAGAUGA